RNAcentral lists this ribosomal RNA (594 nucleotides) under Escherichia coli. RNAcentral's name for it is "partial 23S ribosomal RNA". It matches the Rfam family "Bacterial large subunit ribosomal RNA", at positions 407 to 1001 of the family's 2925-position model. Lineage: Bacteria; Pseudomonadati; Pseudomonadota; Gammaproteobacteria; Enterobacterales; Enterobacteriaceae. The record is from RNAcentral.
GAUGAGUAGGGCGGGACACGUGGUAUCCUGUCUGAAUAUGGGGGGACCAUCCUCCAAGGCUAAAUACUCCUGACUGACCGAUAGUGAACCAGUACCGUGAGGGAAAGGCGAAAAGAACCCCGGCGAGGGGAGUGAAAAAGAACCUGAAACCGUGUACGUACAAGCAGUGGGAGCACGCUUAGGCGUGUGACUGCGUACCUUUUGUAUAAUGGGUCAGCGACUUAUAUUCUGUAGCAAGGUUAACCGAAUAGGGGAGCCGAAGGGAAACCGAGUCUUAACUGGGCGUUAAGUUGCAGGGUAUAGACCCGAAACCCGGUGAUCUAGCCAUGGGCAGGUUGAAGGUUGGGUAACACUAACUGGAGGACCGAACCGACUAAUGUUGAAAAAUUAGCGGAUGACUUGUGGCUGGGGGUGAAAGGCCAAUCAAACCGGGAGAUAGCUGGUUCUCCCCGAAAGCUAUUUAGGUAGCGCCUCGUGAAUUCAUCUCCGGGGGUAGAGCACUGUUUCGGCAAGGGGGUCAUCCCGACUUACCAACCCGAUGCAAACUGCGAAUACCGGAGAAUGUUAUCACGGGAGACACACGGCGGGUGCUAA